Molecule: long non-coding RNA, 1339 nt
Filed under: Ananas comosus (pineapple)
Lineage: Eukaryota; Viridiplantae; Streptophyta; Magnoliopsida; Poales; Bromeliaceae
Description: long non-coding RNA (ACOM_LNC000365)
Source: RNAcentral
CCAUUCUUAUCAUACGCCUUUUAUUAUCAUACAGACUGCAAUAAUAAUAAAAAGUUCAUUGUCGCAAUCUCUUAAAGCUUGUAUUUGAUCAGCUAUCUUCGCUUCUAAAUAGUCUAUAUGUGGAACUGAUCAAUCAUUUUCAUAUUUUUUGUGCGAACUUUCAUCAUCAAAGGCCAUACUUUUUUUCAUCUUCGAAGAAAUAAAACUCUCUGAUCCAGACAGUUCUCUAUCUUUUAUUUCAUUCUUAUCUACCCAUUGAAAAAAGUUAUAAUAAUUCUCCUUAUCAUUUCGAUAUUUUGGACAGCCGUAAAAUUGUAUCCCUUCAGAACGUGGCUGACGGAAAACUCUUAACAUAGCUACUUCAUUAUAUUUGCAGCGAACAAUCCCGCUUUCAUUAGGAUUUCCCCGAUAAUAUGCCAUUGAUAAUCUGAAAAAAAAAAUAAAGUAUCAAUUUAAUAAAGGAACGUGAGCUAAUCUGAUGAUGUUAGCCUUCGCAGAUUAAUAAAGGAACGUGAGCUAAUCUGAUUCUCUGACUCACAAACUGAGCAGGCAUCCUCUCGCAAAAAUUGAAACCUAAACCUUUACAAGGUCGUUCAAUGUAUUACAUUACAAGUGAAAAGCCACAUUAUUAAACAUCAUUCAAAACAUGUAAAUUUCUUAAAAGCCCAAAAUUACGCAAAUAAAAGAUCUCUUACGCAUAGGCAGCUUUUUAAAAAAUGAGCCACUGAUUUCAAUCUAUAAUAUUACUUCUAUAAAAGAUACCUGAAUUUGAGAUAAGUGGAUUUUUAUCAGGCAAAAGAUGUACAAUGUAUGGCAAAUAUAAAUCAAUUCCAUAAAUUAGGUAGUUUACAACUAGAUUUGAAUACAAAUAAUGAAUUAGAGCACAUGGAACCAGUGCUUAUUCGAGGGCAUCAACUGUAAAAUGAUAAGUGAUAUUCAUAAGGUAUUUCAGGGAUGUAAGAUUAUGUGGGGUUCAAGCAUGGCACAAUUGAGGUCUCAACUUUAAUCCUUGGGUAAUCCUUGGGUAAGCCUAACAGAUAAACUCUUAUAUGAAAUGCAGCAAAGCAAACCAUAAUUUCAAACUAUGAUCCAUAUCCAUAUGUAUAAAAUUAUGCUGAGAAAGAGAUUUGCUAUAGAAAAAGAAAUGCAAAUAAAAAAGAUUGAAAAAAAAAGAAAAUAGUACCAAAUGGGGACUCGCACGUGCGCUGCAGUCGGGGACUCGCUCGUGUGCCGCAGCCGGGGAGGGGACCGACCCGCAUGCUUGCCGCCGUAGGGGGGAGUGGUGGGCUGCCCGCAAGGUCGCCGCCGCAGCAGGGGAGGAGGAGAAGGCUAACGAAUG